CAAACUCCUACGGGAGGCAGCAGUAGGGAAUCUUCCGCAAUGGACGAAAGUCUGACGGAGCAACGCCGCGUGAGUGAUGAAGGUUUUCGGAUCGUAAAACUCUGUUGUUAGGGAAGAACAAGUACCGUUCGAAUAGGGCGGUACCUUGACGGUACCUAACCAGAAAGCCACGGCUAACUACGUGCCAGCAGCCGCGGUAAUACGUAGGUGGCAAGCGUUGUCCGGAAUUAUUGGGCGUAAAGCGCGCGCAGGCGGUUUCUUAAGUCUGAUGUGAAAGCCCCCGGCUCAACCGGGGAGGGUCAUUGGAAACUGGGGAACUUGAGUGCAGAAAAGGAGAGUGGAAUUCCACGUGUAGCGGUGAAAUGCGUAAAGAUGUGGAGGAACACCAGUGGCGAAGGCGACUCUCUGGUCUGUAACUGACGCUGAGGCGCGAAAGCGUGGGGAGCGAACAGGAUUAAUACCCUGGUAGUCCACGCCGUAAACGAUGAGUGCUAAGUGUUAGAGGGUUUCCGCCCUUUAGUGCUGCAGAAACGCAUUAACACUCCGCCUGGGGAGUACGGUCGCAAACUGAACUCAAGGAAUUGACGGGGCCCGCACAGCGGUGGAACAGUGGUUUAAUUCGAACAACGCGAAAACCUUACCAGGUCUUGACAUCCUCUGACAACCCUAGAGAUAGGGCUUCCCCUUCGGGGGCAGAGUGACAGGUGGUGCAUGGUUGUCGUCAGCUCGUGUCGUGAGAUGUUGGGUUAAGUCCCGCAACGAGCGCAACCCUUGAUCUUAGUUGCCAGCAUUCAGUUGGGCACUCUAAGGUGACUGCCGGUGACAAACCGGAGGAAGGUGGGGAUGACGUCAAAUCAUCAUGCCCCUUAUGACCUGGGCUACACACGUGCUACAAUGGGCAGAACAAAGGGCAGCGAAGCCGCGAGGCUAAGCCAAUCCCACAAAUCUGUUCUCAGUUCGGAUCGCAGUCUGCAACUCGACUGCGUGAAGCUGGAAUCGCUAGUAAUCGCGGAUCAGCAUGCCGCGGUGAAUACGUUCCCGGGCCUUGUACACACCGCCCGUCACACCACGAGAGUUUGUAACAC
Molecule: ribosomal RNA, 1085 nt
Filed under: Bacillus licheniformis
Lineage: Bacteria; Bacillati; Bacillota; Bacilli; Caryophanales; Bacillaceae
Description: bacterial SSU rRNA
Rfam family: Bacterial small subunit ribosomal RNA
Source: RNAcentral